CUUGAUCGAUCCCAGCCGCAGCGGCUCGCCGCGGUCCUGGCCGUAGGUGGCCAGCAGCGCGUUGGCCUC
RNAcentral lists this antisense RNA (69 nucleotides) under Streptomyces sp. 840.1. Its description in RNAcentral is "ASpks TB sRNA". It matches the Rfam family "ASpks TB sRNA". The record is from RNAcentral. Lineage: Bacteria; Bacillati; Actinomycetota; Actinomycetes; Kitasatosporales; Streptomycetaceae.